GCUGGUGAUGGCGUGCCUUUUGAAGAAUGAGCCUGCGAGUUAGUGGCAUGUCGCGAGGUUAACCCGUGUGGGGUAGCCGUAGCGAAAGCGAGUCCGAAUAGGGCGUAUCCACGUUUGUGGUGUAGUGGCGUGUUCUAGACCCGAAGCGGAGUGAUCUACCCAUGGCCAGGUUGAAGCGACGGUAAGACGUCGUGGAGGACCGAACCCACUUAGGUUGAAAACUGAGGGGAUGAGUUGUGGGUAGGGGUGAAAGGCCAAUCAAACUCCGUGAUAGCUGGUUCUCCCCGAAAUGCAUUUAGGUGCAGCGUCACGUGUUUCUCACCGGAGGUAGAGCUACUGGAUGGUCUAGGGGGCCUACAAGCUUACCGAAAUCAGCCAAACUCCGAAUGCCGGUGAGUGAGAGCGUGGCAGUGAGACUGCGGGCGAUAAGGUUCGUAGUCGAGAGGGAAACAGCCCAGAUCGCCAGCUAAGGUCCCUAAGCGUGUACUAAGUGGAAAAGGAUGUGGGGUCGCGAAGACAACCAGGAGGUUGGCUUAGAAGCAGCCACCCUUGAAAGAGUGCGUAAUAGCUCACUGGUCAAGUGAUCCUGCGCCGACAAUGUAGCGGGGCUCAAGUACACCACCGAAGCUGCGGCACUCACACAAUAGCCCCAUUCAGGUCUGCGGAUCUGUGUGCAGGUGUGUGGGUGGGUAGGGGAGCGUCGUGCAGCCAUGGAAGCAUCGGAGUGAUCCAGGUGUGGAGGCUGCGCGAGUGAGAAUGCAGGCAUGAGUAGCGAAAGACGAGUGAGAAACUCGUCCGCCGAAUGACCAAGGGUUCCUGGGCCAGGUUAAUCCGCCCAGGGUGAGUCGGGACCUAAGACGAGGCCGACAGGCGUAGCCGAUGGACAACGGGUUGAUAUUCCCGUACCCGUGUAACCGCGCCCAUGGUGAAUCAGUGACACUAACCACCCUGAAUC
RNAcentral lists this ribosomal RNA (955 nucleotides) under Rhodococcus ruber. Its description in RNAcentral is "partial 23S ribosomal RNA". It matches the Rfam family "Bacterial large subunit ribosomal RNA", at positions 589 to 1497 of the family's 2925-position model. The record is from RNAcentral. Lineage: Bacteria; Bacillati; Actinomycetota; Actinomycetes; Mycobacteriales; Nocardiaceae.